GCGGAGUCCAUUGACAAUGGCCUCUAACUUUAAGAAGGCAAGCAAGGCAUCAUCUGCCCAGCAAAAGAGGAUGAGUCCUAAACCAGAGCUUACUGAAGAGCAGAAACAGGAAAUCCGGGAAGUUUUUGAUCUCUUUGAUGCUGAUGGAACUGGGACCAUAGAUGUUAAGGAACUUAAGGUGGCAAUGAGGGCACUGGGCUUUGAACCCAAGAAAGAAGAGAUAAAGAAAAUGGUAAGUGAUAUCGAUAAGGAAGGGACAGGAAAAAUGAACUUCAGUGACUUUUUGACUGUGAUGAUUCAGAAACUGUCUGAGAAAGAUACCAAAGAAGAAAUUCUGAAAGCUUUCAAGCUCUUCAAUGAUGAUGAAACUGGGAAGAUAUCAUUCAAAAAUCUAAAACGUGUGGCCAAGGAGUUGGAUGAGAACCUCACUGAUGAGGAGCUACAGGAAAUGAUCAAUGAGACUGAUCGAGAUGGAGAUGGAGAAGCCAAUGGGCAGGAGUUCCUGCGCAUCAUGAAAAAGACCAGCCUUUACUAAAAUCAGUCUCUU
Molecule: non-coding RNA, 547 nt
Organism: Leptonychotes weddellii (Weddell seal)
Lineage: Eukaryota; Metazoa; Chordata; Mammalia; Carnivora; Phocidae
Source: RefSeq, a predicted model, not a curated record